AGUGAACGCUGGCGGUAGGCCUAACACAUGCAAGUCGAACGGCAGCACAGUAAGAGCUUGCUCUUACGGGUGGCGAGUGGUGGACGGGUGAGGAAUACAUCGGAAUCUACUUUUUCUUGGGGGAUAACGUAGGGAAACUUACGCUAAUACCGCAUACGACCUACGGGUGAAAGCAGGGGAUCUUCGGACCUUUCGCGAUUGAAUGAGCCGAUGUCGGAUUAGCUAGUUGGCGGGGUAAAGGCCCACCAAGGAGACGAUCCGAAGCUGGUCUGAGAGGAUGAUCAGCAACCCGGGACCUGAGAAACGGUCAGAACUCUUAGGGGAGGCAGAAUAGGGGAAUAUUGGCAAUUGGGCGAAAGCUUGAUCCAGCCAUACCGGGUGGGUGAAGAAGGCCUUCGGGUUGUAAAGCCCUUUUGUUGGGAAAGAAAAGCAGCAGGUUAAUACCGCGCUGUUCGGACGGUACCAAAAGAAUAAGCACCGGCUAACUUCGU
RNAcentral lists this ribosomal RNA (491 nucleotides) under uncultured bacterium. RNAcentral's name for it is "partial 16S ribosomal RNA". It matches the Rfam family "Bacterial small subunit ribosomal RNA", at positions 29 to 506 of the family's 1533-position model. The record is from RNAcentral.